Long non-coding RNA from Brassica rapa (field mustard), 1578 nucleotides. RefSeq lists it as uncharacterized. Lineage: Eukaryota; Viridiplantae; Streptophyta; Magnoliopsida; Brassicales; Brassicaceae. The record is from RefSeq and is a predicted model, not a curated record.
UUUGAUCCGGAACCGUCAAAAUUUCUAAAUAUUGUCCAAUUUUUUUUGUGUAACUGAAGAUGGUUGUUGUUGAUGAUGUCUUUUCGUACAAUUUUUCUUGUUCAUAUUGAAUAUAUUCACAAGUAUUAAUAUCAUCGAUAAAAGUUAGUCUUUUAGCAAUAUUUUAUGUUUCUCUUUUACUUUCUUGUUCUAAUCUAAUGUAUUACAAAUAUUAAUAUCACAUGAUUUCAACAAUUUGUAUCUUUAAUCUACAAAUUAAAAUGAGAAGAGCCAUUUUUACUUUGAAAUGCACUAGUAUAUCAUAUAUGCAUUACGAAAAUUACUUUAUGAAAUAAUAUGAUUUUUACUUGAAGUUUAAUAUUAAUUAAGUUAUUUUGUUUAAAAUUUUAUAUUUUAUAUUUAAAUAUAAUAUUUUAUAUUUAAAUAUAAUAUUUUAUUAAUUAAUAAUGGGGAAUUGCCACUAAUACCACUUUCCUAAUACCACUUUUCAACUUUACACUUUUCAAAUUUACCAUUAAAAUUUUAAUGGCUAAAGUACCAUUAUACCCCUCAUUUCAUUAAUUUAACCUAGAUCUAUUCUUCUCCAAAUGUCUGUCACGAGAUGAAAAUGAGAUCAAAUUGAGACGAGCUCCAACGAGAUCUCCGGCAAACUCGGCGAUCUCCGGCGAAUUCGGCGAUCUUCGGCGAACUUGGCGAUCUCCGGCGAACUCGACGAUCUCCGACGAACUCGACCGGAUUGGGAGAGCGUGGCGGCGAGUGGACAUCCCGCCGUUCCUCUGCCGGCAUUAUGUAGUCGUAGUAAUCCUCCGAUGCUAAAUCGGUCACGUUCGUCACGAAUCGCAUGCCGAGAAGUUCUCCGGCAAAGCUGACAGACUCGGCAAGCUCAGACGAACGAGACGAUCUCUCUCCCAACGCCUAAGAAACACUAACAAAGAGAAUUACAAAUGUGUGUUGUCAGCUUUUGGAUUUAAAGGAUGUUGUGGAGAAUAUGUGUGGUGAUAUGCAUAUCUAAGUAUCUCACUUCCUUAAGGUAAUACAAUGCUACUAUUUGUAGUUUGACUAGCAAUGUUUUAGUAUGUGCAGUAUAUGAGGUGGAACGUUGGUGUUUUGGUAGUGUAACGUUCUAUUUAUACUUUAUGAGUUUAUUUUUUAUGUCUUGUUUUGUGUAUAAUAUCUACAGAAGCAGUGAAGAUGAAUGAUGAGUUUGUUGAGUUACGAAAGUAUACUAUUUUUGAAUCUUAUUUUUGGAAGUGAAUGCUGAUGCGUAGAAAUAAUAUGUGACUGGCUUUUGUUCAGAUUUUGAAAAUUUACGAGGUUGGUGAGCUAUUUGAAGAGGCAAGAGAGACUCUGAAGAAGAAUGUGGUUUGUACUAUCAAAGAAUUACGUAUUUAUAACGCUUUAUAAAAGUUGCAGAGUUGGCUUCUUAGUACAUUCUUCUCUCUCAUCUUAUUUAGACAUCUCUUAUACUAAAACAAUUGUAUCUCUCUUUUAGUAGUUGCAUAAUUGAAGAUAUUAGUUGGACAUGUAAGUGAGUUUGGUUUCAAUUGUUUCUUUUAUAGAAGAGUGAGAUAUGGAGAA